CCUACGGGGUGCAGCAGUGAGGAAUAUUGGUCAAUGGACGAGAGUCUGAACCAGCCAAGUAGCGUGAAGGAUGACUGCCCUAUGGGUUGUAAACUUCUUUUAUAAAGGAAUAAAACGAGGCACGUGUGCCUUUUUGCAUGUACUUUAUGAAUAAGGAUCGGCUAACUCCGUGCCAGCAGCCGCGGUAAUACGGAGGAUCCGAGCGUUAUCCGGAUUUAGUGGGUUUAAAGGGAGCGUAGAUGGGUUGUUAAGUCAGUUGUGAAAGUUUGCGGCUCAACCGUAAAAUUGCAAUUGAUACUGGCAGGCUUGAGUACAGUUGAGGUAAGCGGAAUUCGUGGUGUAGCGGUGAAAUGCGUAGAUAUGACGAAGAACCCCGAUUGCGAAGGCAGCUUACUAAACUGUGACUGACAUUGAUGCUCGAAAGUGUGGGUAUCAAACAGGAUUAGAUACCCGAGUAGUC
This 460-nucleotide ribosomal RNA is filed under the name uncultured bacterium. Its description in RNAcentral is "partial 16S ribosomal RNA". It matches the Rfam family "Bacterial small subunit ribosomal RNA", at positions 338 to 795 of the family's 1533-position model. The record is from RNAcentral.